GGGAGAGUGAGCACCUAUAUAUAGGACCCCUUCUUUCUUGAAUUUUUCUUGAUUUGGAUAGUUGAAGAAACCAUGGAUAAUUUAGAAAUUGGUAUGUAGCUGAACAUUUUCUUGGCCGUUGAAUCAUAUACAUGAAGUUGAACUAUUUGCUGCCUCACUUUCGAUGUUGUGUGACCAUGAGUUCCAAACGCUAAUUGUCUGUCUUCUGUUGAUUAAAGUUGUUGUCUAUCCAGUGAACAUGUUAAAUUUGCCUGAAAUGAGAUCUAUGCUUGGAGUUUGGUGUUAUAGUUCAAAAAACGAUUUAAACUAUUUAACUUCAUGGUAAUUUUUUGUUUGUUUGGGGCUCAGAAAUAAAAAGGAGAAAAGAACUCCUUGCAUUAGUUUUUACUCUUCUGAAUUCGUUGAUUGUGGUGUAGUGUAUCUACUGCUCAUAGUCUUUGAACUUGGACGGUGUUAGAGUAUUAUUGAAAUGUUAAUAGGCACGGAGAUAUGAGUUUCAUUUUAUUUUUGUAAUUUGUAAAUCUUUGAUAAUCGUUGGCUCUGCAAUGCUCCUUUAAUUCUUUCCAUUUAGUGGUCAAAUGUGUAUAAUACGUUUGUUGUCCAAAAAUUUAUAAACAUUGAAGUUAAAGGUGAAGCUCUAGACUAUUUGUGGUUUAUUGUUAAAUGAUUGUGUAUGGAUAUAAAGCUUAUACAGUUGCUUGUAAAUUGCAGUGAGCGUAGCUUUCUUUUUAAUUCA
This is a long non-coding RNA of Nicotiana tabacum (common tobacco), 736 nucleotides long. RefSeq lists it as uncharacterized. NCBI's taxonomy places the organism in Eukaryota, Viridiplantae, Streptophyta, Magnoliopsida, Solanales, Solanaceae. The record is from RefSeq and is a predicted model, not a curated record.